UUUACUUUUGAAGAGGAAAAGUACUUAACUCCUAGAGGAAAGCGUCAUUCCUGAGGUUUACCCUCAUGGUCUGGAGACAAACACGUGGGACUUUUCUUUUUUGUGUGUGUUUCUAAUAGUGGAAGAAAAGGAAAGCCAGGCUAAGCAGAGAAAAGUGGAAGAGGAGACACAGCAGCUCAUUCUUUCCCAGUAGCCGUUAGACUGAUUGCGGAGGGGAAGGUCAAAAGAGAAGUUCACAACUAUGAUACCAGCUCUAGAGGCGAAAGAACAACUGAGAGAGAACUAUCCAAGAAGUGUUUGGAUCCCGAAGCACAAAGGUAGACUUACAAAGGAUGAAAUUGAUCUCUACUACUAAGUGGAUCCAUCUUCAAGAGAGGGCGUUCAGAACACCCGGAAAGAUAAGAAAGGUGAUCCUGAUGUGCAGAGUUGAGAAUACCUCAGGUAUUUUAACACACGGCUUUAUCUUUGAAGAACAGAAGAGACCCCAUGGGGAUACAGUCAGCCAAUGUGACUAAUUCUACAGGACAAAUGACCCAGUUUCCUCAAAAAUAAGUGCCAUGAAAUAUAUGGAGCAGGGAGGUGGAAACUGUCAUAAAUCAAAAGACUUGAGAUGUGUCAACCAAGUGAAACGUGUAAACCUUAUUUGGGUCCCAAUCUGAACAGACCGAAAAUGGGCAUUUUUGAGACACUUAGGGAAAACAGAACACAGAUUAUUUAAUACGAGGGAAUUAUUUUUGUUGGAUAUGAUAUUGGCACAGUGAUUGAAAAACAAAUUCCUUAUCUGUUAGAGCAAAAUACUGAUGAAUU
RNAcentral lists this long non-coding RNA (807 nucleotides) under Homo sapiens (human). RNAcentral describes it as "HSALNT0388392". Lineage: Eukaryota; Metazoa; Chordata; Mammalia; Primates; Hominidae. The record is from RNAcentral.